UAGAUCUAAAAAAAAUGAGAGCUCUCCCACUCUUCUCUGCCUGGUCGUCUCCAAGGAUUCAUCAGUGCCAAACGCACCUCCUCCCCGUCACGGUUCAAGGCUCGGGAAUAAAGGAAGCAAGAUGCGUCCCUCGAUCCGAAUCUACGGAGAAAGGGUCUCCGAUGGCCGAAACCGAAGUACGGAGAAGGCCAGUUGGCGUGCGGUGCUACAUACGGAGGUACGGAGAGGCCUUAGGAAUGUAUGGCGGCUGAAGGUUGCAGCGCAAAGGUGGAAACCCUAGGGUUUCGUGUUGGUGUUUUGAUUUUGGGCCUUGUAUUUCUGGGCUAAUGCUUAGGUUAUAAUUGGGUUAAUUUGGGCCCUUUUUUUGAUGUGUAAAUGGACUUGGACUGUUUUAUUAUUUGGAUUUUUUUUAGCUUUAUUAUUUAUUUUAAUUUUAGUUUUUCUUCAUGCCCGGGCAAAUUUGAGUCCUUACACCUUCAAUGUGUUUCAAGAAAAGACCCUUUUUGUUCUCCGAAA
This is a long non-coding RNA of Gossypium arboreum, 516 nucleotides long. RefSeq lists it as uncharacterized. The transcript has 2 exons. The record is from RefSeq and is a predicted model, not a curated record. NCBI's taxonomy places the organism in Eukaryota, Viridiplantae, Streptophyta, Magnoliopsida, Malvales, Malvaceae.